UGUUUAUGCAAAAUAGUAAGGAAUCAUAGAAUAGUUAGGGCUGGAAAGGACCUUAAGAUCAUCUAAUUCCACCCCACAUGCCGUGAGCAGGGACACAUCACACUGAACCAUGUUGCCCAAAGCUCUGUCCAGCCUGGUGUUGAACACUGCCAGGGAUGGAGCAUUCAUCUCUUCU
Long non-coding RNA from Strigops habroptila (Kakapo), 175 nucleotides. RefSeq lists it as uncharacterized. NCBI's taxonomy places the organism in Eukaryota, Metazoa, Chordata, Aves, Psittaciformes, Psittacidae. The record is from RefSeq and is a predicted model, not a curated record. The transcript is spliced from 3 exons.